Molecule: ribosomal RNA, 504 nt
Filed under: Exaiptasia diaphana
Lineage: Eukaryota; Metazoa; Cnidaria; Anthozoa; Actiniaria; Aiptasiidae
Description: partial 12S ribosomal RNA
Rfam family: Bacterial small subunit ribosomal RNA
Source: RNAcentral
GCCCGUCAAAUUAAGUGCCAGCUGACGCGGUUAAACUUAAGGGCUGGUCUUUAUAAGUAAAAAGGCGUAGAGGAUGUGUAGGCCAAGAAAUUAUCUAAGAAGGUAAAUGGAAUUUUUCUGGAGCGGUAAAAUGUGAAGAUAGAAAAUAGAACACCUAAGGUUAAAACUAUUUACCACAAAAUAGGCUGAAACAUGAGAGAGUGGGGAGCAAACAGGAUUAGAGACCCUGGUAGUCCACUCUGUAAACUUUGAAGAUUAUGUUUAGCAGGCCCGAAAGGUAAAAUCUUCCGCCUGAGUAGUACGAUCGCAAGAUUAAAAUUCAAAAACUUUGGCUGUUCACUACUUCGAUUAGAGGAGCGUGUAGUUUAAUUCGAUGGUCCGCGUGUUACCUUACCCCAGCUUGAAUCUAUGACCGGUAUUGCAUGGCCGUCGUAAGUCCCUGUGUUAAACUAAAAGGGACCCAAUCCGGGCGUUUGCCUGAAGGAAGUCAGGUCUUAUGAUCCG